UCACCGGGAGUAAAUCUGCUCG
This 22-nucleotide microRNA is filed under the name Caenorhabditis brenneri. Its description in RNAcentral is "cbn-miR-35g". Its record names the gene cbn-miR-35g. The record is from miRBase by way of RNAcentral. Lineage: Eukaryota; Metazoa; Nematoda; Chromadorea; Rhabditida; Rhabditidae.